AUUGAACGCUGGCGGCAUGCCUUACACAUGCAAGUCGAACGGUAACAGGUCUUCGGAUGCUGACGAGUGGCGCACGGGUGAGUAAUACAUCGGAACGUGCCCAGACGUGGGGGAUAACGAGGCGAAAGCUUUGCUAAUACCGCAUACGAUCUAAGGAUGAAAGCAGGGGACCGCAAGGCCUUGCGCGGUUGGAGCGGCCGAUGGCAGAUUAGGUAGUUGGUGGGAUAAAAGCUUACCAAGCCGACGAUCUGUAGCUGGUCUGAGAGGACGACCAGCCACACUGGGACUGAGACACGGCCCAGACUCCUACGGGAGGCAGCAGUGGGGAAUUUUGGACAAUGGGCGAAAGCCUGAUCCAGCAAUGCCGCGUGCAGGAUGAAGGCCUUCGGGUUGUAAACUGCUUUUGUACGGAACGAAAAGGCUCUGGCUAAUACCUGGGGCACAUGACGGUACCGUAAGAAUAAGCACCGGCUAACUACGUG
RNAcentral lists this ribosomal RNA (482 nucleotides) under uncultured bacterium. RNAcentral describes it as "partial 16S ribosomal RNA". It matches the Rfam family "Bacterial small subunit ribosomal RNA", at positions 30 to 507 of the family's 1533-position model. The record is from RNAcentral.